CAUGUGGCUCGCGAGCCGCAGUUUGCCGACCACUGUCCUAGACCAUUGCUAGCAAGACACACACCCUACAGAAAAUCUGUCAGAGCAAACUGUUAAAAAAGCAGCCUACUGUGGAUGCUCUCCUUCACCCUCCCGUUCUUUCCUUUUUCCCUUCGAUAGAGCGAAAAGCAAUCACACACCUGAAUGCUCUUCUUUUACUUGGUGCUACCACAUUUUCAGUCAUUUUUCUCCCCCAAACUGCAGGAGCUGGCUUUGUUUUUUCAUCUGCCCUAAAAACUUACUACAGCUACUUCACAGCUGUGCUCGAACCCGCAAGGGCCCAGAACAAGAUCUGGGAAGCAGACACACACGCCAAUACCGUGGAACCACAGGGACUGGACAGAAAGGGAUAGACUUCCUCUGGAUUAGGAAACUGAGGCCCAGAAAGGAUAAGGAACAAGCUCUGCAUCACACAGCAAGCAGGUGACUGAAGGUGGAAUUGAACUGGGACUGGCUGACUCCUGAGGCUACCACACAGCCUCUUCGUUUCCUCAGCUGAUAGGCAGUUGAACUCAGAGCCUUUCCCUUCGGUGCAGUCUCCGCGAGCCCCAACCCGCAAAACAGAAACAAGCAGUUCCGUGUGGGCUGAAACAAGACCCAGUCUGAAAGGAAGCAAUCUGUCAACUUCCCAGCCCAACCAGGUCUCCAAGCAGAUUCCUCCCCUCGUUCGGGGCACCCACAGAGGCCCUCUGUCCCUUGCACCAUUGUCUCUCUAGGUGCCCGGGACACGGGUGCCAGCUUCCCACCCAGCUUUCAAAGGGACUUCCUCGUCUGGGGCUUUCUCCCAGGCACACCAUCGCUGGACUGUUUCUGUGUUUCCUGGAGUUUGAACCUGAACACCAGUGUUUGUCCAUCAGUCCUAGGUUGCCUAGCACUAGCUGCUGAACUUGGUUCAAGGUCGGUUUCUCUCCCAGCCAGCGGGAGAAGUACAGGCUGGGGGCUGUGCAUGUCGGUCCGGGGAAGGCUGGAAUUGCCCAACGUCCAGAGGGUCUGGCCAGGGCUUGGGGGUGGGGGAUGGGCAGUCAGGCCCCUUCCGUUUGAGGAAAUGGUCAGGGCAGUGGUGAGGCCUUCGAGUUUGGCAUGGCGCCUAGACCACGUCACCUUCUUGGCUCCUUCCUGGUGGCAGGACCUCAGCCAACCUCUCUUGCCAGACUCCCCCGUUUUCUUAGCUACCCUGCCAUCUCCAGUGUGGCCAUGACAGUGAGAUGAACUCCUGAAGGGAAGCCGCAUGGCCCCAGGCCUGGCACAUGGUAAGGCUUCAGUCAUUCAUAGCUAUUAUUAUUGUUGUGUUGCUGUUGUUUUUAAGCUCCCCUUCCACCCAAAACAAAAAUCCACAGGCCUAUGGACGUGCCCCGUGUGUUUCUGGAACCUCAGUUUUGCUCUGCUAGCAGCAGCCACAGCUCCCUGAUAAGAAAAUGGUCUUACCCAAGCAAAUGUACUCAUGGCACAAACCCGGCACAACCUGAGCUCCUGACUCAGUUUCCUCACUGUCUAGAGAGGUGUCAGGACCCUCCCUAAGGCCUCCACAGCCCUAUAUGACCUAAGCCCCAUUUAUUCUCUGCCUCCAUCUCCAAACACCCUUGGCCUUGCUCACCUGCCUCAGCUGUGCACACCUCCCUGCCGUCUCAGCACAGUCCUGCCUCAGGACCUUUGCACUGGCUGUCCCCCCGCAGUGGACCGCUGGCACCCCAGGUAUCUACAUUGCUCGCUCCCUUAUUUAAGCCUUUGCUUAAAUGUCACCUUCACAACCAGGCCCACAUGGAUCACCCUAUCUGAAAUCGCAGCCUCCUCCCCCAGCCUCCUGACACCUCCCCCACUCUUCUAUACCACAGUCUAGUUAACAGCAUUAUGUUUGUUAUUCCACGUCUGUCUCCCCAAUUAGACUGUCAGCUCUGGGAGGACAGGGAUCGUUGUGUGUUGCUGUCCAUGUGCCCCACAUGCCCAGCACAGGUCUGGCAAAUGAAUAAAGAGAAGGCAGUGUGGAGGGAAGGGAGAGAACCCUGACACCCUCCACACACUUCACUCCCCCUUUCUGCAUCCUGCUCCCAGCACAGGUAGCCCUGAGGCCCCGCCCAACCCGGGAGCAUCAUCAGGAGGCCUUGUUAUCCUGAGUUUCCACAAAGAAAGGUGAAUUAUGCUACUUCCCCUUCCACCUACCUACCUUUCUGAGAUGCCAAAUCCUAUAACUUGUUUAACCCUGUGAGGCAGACACCCUUACCCAUUGCCCUGCCCCCCUCAGACACACGUCUUUGGGGCCACUGGAAUGAGACACUGAGAGGUAGAAGCAACACUUGGGAAACCUGCUGGGGAAGGGACCUCUAAGAUCGUUUCUCCCUCCUUGGCUAGACAGAGUUAGGGUUAAAUGCUCAUUACUAGACCUCCCGCCUUCUGAACCACGAAUAUGCUCUUCCUAAAACCAUAAUUUAAGAAAAAGUAAUUGUUUAUUACAUGCCAAAUCAUUUCCCCCUAUGAGGUAGACACCACUCAAUUCACCCUAUGAGGUAGACACCACUAAUCUCCCCAUUUUACACGAGGAAACUGAGACACAGAGAAAUUAAGUAUCUUGCCCAAGAUCACACAGCUAGUUAGUGCAAAGCCAGGAUCAGAAUCCAAACAGGCUCUUUCUAAAGUAUAUGUGCUUGCCCUAGCCAGUGUUGCUCAGUAGAUAGAGCAUCAGCCUGUGGACUGAAGGGUCCCGGGUUCGAUUCCGGUCAAGGGCACGUGCCCGGAUUGUGGGCUCGAUCCCCAGAAGGAGGCGUG
Long non-coding RNA from Myotis lucifugus (little brown bat), 2799 nucleotides. RefSeq lists it as uncharacterized. Lineage: Eukaryota; Metazoa; Chordata; Mammalia; Chiroptera; Vespertilionidae. The record is from RefSeq and is a predicted model, not a curated record. The transcript is spliced from 4 exons.